RNAcentral lists this ribosomal RNA (282 nucleotides) under uncultured bacterium. RNAcentral's name for it is "partial 16S ribosomal RNA". It matches the Rfam family "Bacterial small subunit ribosomal RNA", at positions 28 to 312 of the family's 1533-position model. The record is from RNAcentral.
GAUGAACGCUAGCGGCAGGCCUAAUACAUGCAAGUCGGACGGGAUUGGGGAGCUUGCUCCCCAUGAGAGUGGCGCACGGGUGCGUAACACGUAUGUAACCUACCUUCGUCAGGGGAUAGCCUCUCGAAAGAGAGAUUAAGACCGCAUAACAUUAUUGAAUAGCAUUAUUUAAUAAUCAAAUAUUUAUAGGACGAAGAUGGGCAUGCGGAACAUUAGCAGUUGGUAAGGUAACGGCUUACCAAGGCUACGAUGUUUAGGGGAUCUGAGAGGAUGACCCCCACC